This 77-nucleotide transfer RNA is filed under the name Actinomycetota bacterium. RNAcentral describes it as "tRNA-Val". It matches the Rfam family "tRNA". Rfam says of the family: Transfer RNA (tRNA) molecules are approximately 80 nucleotides in length. Their secondary structure includes four short double-helical elements and three loops (D, anti-codon, and T loops). Further hydrogen bonds mediate the characteristic L-shaped molecular structure. tRNAs have two regions of fundamental functional importance: the anti-codon, which is responsible for specific mRNA codon recognition, and the 3' end, to which the tRNAs corresponding amino acid is attached (by aminoacyl-tRNA synthetases). tRNAs cope with the degeneracy of the genetic code in two manners: having more than one tRNA (with a specific anti-codon) for a particular amino acid; and 'wobble' base-pairing, i.e. permitting non-standard base-pairing at the 3rd anti-codon position. Lineage: Bacteria; Bacillati; Actinomycetota. The record is from RNAcentral.
GGGCGUAUGGCUCAGUCCGGCAGAGCACCGCCUUCACACGGCGGGGGUCACUGGUUCAAAUCCAGUUACGCCCACCA